GGGAUGAUACACGGGGCCCAAGCCCAACAAAUAAAGACCAACAACCCAACCCAAGGAGAAGGGUAAAGAGAGAUUUCCACAAGGGAAGGGGGUGACUUUAGCAAGAUGAGAGAUGUCUCAAGAAAUUCCCAUUCUUCACACGUCACUGCAUCUGAAGCAUGAUUUUGGCUGAAAACGUUGUUGCACCUCCACGGAAGAUUGCUUGUUGAUUCCAGAAAUCCUUCACGCCUUCCAUGCUGCAUCGACGUGUCUUCAUCUGCAUCAAUUGGUUUUCAUCUUCACCGUCCAAGAGCUUGUGGAAUUCUAUAUAAAUUCUGCUUGUAUUUGUAGCUAGAAUUACUUUUGAACCUUGAGAAAUAUAUUCUGCUAAUGCAUUUCUAAUUAUGUUUCUUUCAGAAGUCACCCUUCCUGUGCUUCCCUCUCUUUCCCUCUAGCUUCUUUCCAAGCAUGGAGAGCCAUCUAAGUUAGAUACCAUUCCCAAAACAACACUUCAUCCACACACCUUCAUCUACUUCCGCUGCCAUUUGUUUUCACACAGAGCAACCAUGGAGUCAACUGCUGCUGCUGCAAUUUGGAGUUUAUCAAACUUUCUUCUCAACCAAUCUUACUCAUUCCCAACUUCUUCCUUUUCUUUUAUUUUUACAUUAAGCUCAUAUGUCAUGCUUGUUCUUUUCUUUUUCUUUUCUCAUGCUUUUUCUUUUAUUCACACUUGAGCUCAAUGUCUUUCUUUUGCCUUUUCCCCAAAACAACCCCAGACGUGAACCUUUUCACUACCAUACAAUUAUUCUCAACCCAACUCAAGGUAAAUAUUUUCAAAGCAAGCAUUUUUAUCCUGUUUAAGGCUAAGGUUCAAAAAGCGUAAAUCACAUAAUUUCAAUCACUUUGGGCGAAAAUUUGGCUAAGUAAGGGCUUCCAAAAAUGGCCUUGAUCAUAUGACAUAAGCAUGUAAUUCAAUCAAUUAUAAAGACUCAGGCAAUAUCAUUCGUGCUUCCAUAUGAACAGCACAUAUAUCAAUGAACACGCUAGAGCUCAAAACCUCGCACAACUAUGCUUUCUCACACAUCAUUCAUACACCCUGCUUAGCAUCAUAACCACAAUCAUAAAGCAUCAAGAAAACUCAUCAUGCAAUAACAUUAAGUCAAACCAUAGUCAGAAACAAUGUUCAAGCCAAGCACAAACACUUAUACUACGUAAUAGAAUUCAACCUGGUCUAAAAUUCAAAGUACAAAAGAGAAAUAUAAAACCUCUGUCCUAAGCACUGACAUCUAUCAGUAAAUGCCCUCUCAACUCAUAUCAUCAUCGGAGUCCUCCUGAUCUCCAGCUUUCUGAUAACGGUU
This 1337-nucleotide long non-coding RNA is filed under the name Vigna radiata. RNAcentral describes it as "long non-coding RNA (VRAD_LNC016264)". Lineage: Eukaryota; Viridiplantae; Streptophyta; Magnoliopsida; Fabales; Fabaceae. The record is from RNAcentral.